Molecule: ribosomal RNA, 2955 nt
Filed under: bioreactor sludge metagenome
Description: bacterial LSU rRNA
Rfam family: Bacterial large subunit ribosomal RNA
Source: RNAcentral
AGGGCUUAUGGUGGAUGCCUAUGGUGCCAAAUGCCGAAGAAGGACGUGGGUCACUGCGAAAAGCCUCGGGGAGCCGUGAACAGGCGCCGAUCCGGGGAUAUCCGAAUGGGGAAACCCAUCCUGUCGAACACAGGAUACCCUCCGUUGAACACAUAGACGGAGAGGAGGGAACCUGGGGAACUGAAACAUCUAAGUACCCAGAGGAAAAGAGAGAAUUCCCAAAGUAGUGGCGAGCGAAAUGGGAGCAGCCCAAACCGAGCUGGCAAGCCAGGUCGGGGUUGUAGGGUCUGACAUAUGGGAGUAAGAAAACGAACUGCUAGUGGAAUGGUGUGGGACAGCCAACCAGAGAAGGUAACAGUCCUGUACGCGAAAGCGGAUCGUCUCCCGUCGGAUACCUGAGUACUACCGGGCACGCUAAUCCGGUAGGAAGCUGGGGAGUCCACUCUCCAAGGCUAAAUACAUUUGGCAACCGAUAGUGAACAAGUACCGUGAGGGAAAGGUGAAAAGUACCCCAGUUAGGGGAGUGAAAUAGAACCUGAAACCAUAAGCCUACAAGCAGUCGAAGGGCUAAUGGCGUGUCGGUGCUCCAUCGAAAGGUGGGUGCGCGGCGCUAUGCCUGACGGCGUGCCUCUUGGAGAAUGAGCCUGCGAGUUAAUCUCAGUGGCGAGGUUAAGGCAGAGACAGCCGAAGCCGCAGCGAAAGCGAGUCUGAAUAGGGCGAGAGUCGCUGGGAUUAGACACGAAACCGGGUGAGCUACUCAUGGCCAGGGUGAAGCGGGGGUAAAAGCUCGUGGAGGCCCGAACCUACUAAUGUUGCAAAAUUAGGGGAUGAGCUGUGAGUAGAGGUGAUAUGCCAAACGAACUCGGAGAUAGCUUGUUCUCCCCGAAAUAGCUUUAGGGCUAGCGCUAUCUGUUCAGUACUGGAGGUAGAGCACUGAAUGGGCUAGGGGGCUUAGUGCUUACCGAACCCAAUCAAACUCCGAAUGCCAGUACUCCAGAGGAUAGCAGUCGGACUACGGGAGAUGAGUUUCGUGGUCAAAAGGGAAACAGCCCAGAUCAUCGGCUAAGGUCCCCAAAUCCAAGCUAAGUGGGAAACGAUGUGGGGUUACUGAAACAACCAGGAGGUUGGCUUAGAAGCAGCCACCCUUCAAAGAGUGCGUAAUAGCUCACUGGUCUAGUGAUCCUGCGCGGAAAAUGUAACGGGGCUAAGCUUGGUACCGAAGCCAUGGGAUUGUCCCUUCGGGGAUGAUCGGUAGGGGAGCGUUCUGCCAGCGGAGAAGCGGUACCGGAAGGAGCCGUGGAGCGGGCAGAAGUGAGAAUGCAGGCAUGAGUAGCGUAAAACACGUGAGAACCGUGUUCACCGUAAGUCUAAGGUUUCCGACGCCAGGUCAAUCCGCGUCGGGUUAGUCGGGGCCUAAGCCGAGGCCGAGAGGCGUAGGCGAUGGAUAGCCGGUCAACAUUCCGGCACCACUUUUGUGGAGUGAUGAGGGGACGCAGCGAGGUAGGCCAGCCCGCGAUUGGUAUGCGGGUGUAUGCGAUGUCAGACGAUGAGAGGGGUAGGAAAAUCCGCCCUUUGAGUUGAGAUCGUGUAACGAGCCCCCGAGGCAUAAGUGAGUUGAGCCUUGCUGCCGAGAAAAGCCUCUAAACGAUGAAGCGAGAGUGCCCGUACCGCAAACCGACACUGGUAGACGGGUAGAGAAUACCAAGGUGAACGGGAAAACCUUCGUUAAGGAAUUAGGCAACAUAGCCCCGUAACUUCGGGAGAAGGGGUGCCUCUUAUUGUGAAUGUAUAAUGAGCAUAAAGAGGUCGCAGUGAAAUGGCUCUAGUGACUGGUUAACAAAACCACAGGUCUCUGCAAAGCCGAAAGGCGAUGUAUAGGGGCUGACACCUGCCCAGUGCCGGAAGGUUAAAGGGAGAGGUUAGCGCAAGCGAAGCUUUGAACUGAAGCCCCGGUGAACGGCGGCCGUAACUAUAACGGUCCUAAGGUAGCGAAAUUCCUUGUCGGGUAAGUUCCGACCCGCACGAACGGCGUAACAACUAGAGCACUGUCUCAACGAAGGACCCGGCGAAAUUGAAAUGGCUGUGAAGAUGCGGCCUACCCGCAGCAGGACAAAAAGACCCCGUGGAGCUUUACUGCAAUUUGGCAUUGAGUUUGGGUAUGGUUUGUGUAGGAUAGGUGGGAGGCUAUGAAGCUGGAGCGCUAGCUUCGGUGGAGCCAACGGUGAAAUACCACCCUGACGAUACUUAGACCCUAACUUUCGACCUUAAUCAGGCGAGAGGACCGUGCCAGAUGGGCAGUUUGACUGGGGCGGUCGCCUCCUAAAAGGUAACGGAGGCGCCCAAAGGUUCCCUCAGGCUGAAUGGAAACCUGCCAAAGAGUGCAAAGGCAUAAGGGAGCUUGACUGCAAGACCAACGCGUCGAGCAGAGACGAAAGUCGGGCUUAGUGAUCCCACGGUUCUGAGUGGAAGGGCCGUGGCUUACCGGAUAAAAGCUACCCCGGGGAUAACAGGCUGGUGAAGUCCAAGAGUUCACAUCGACGACUUCGCUCGGCACCUCGAUGUCGGCUCAUCGCAUCCUGGGGCUGUACAAGGUCCCAAGGGUCGGGCUGUUCGCCCGUUAAAGCGGUACGCGAGCUGGGUUCAGACCGUCGUGAGACAGGUCGGUCUCUAUCCGCUGUGGGCGUAAGGGAUUUGAGAGGAGCUGCCCCUAGUACGAGAGGACCGGGGUGGACAGACCUCUGGUGUGCCAGUUGUCGUGCCAACGGCAUUGCUGGGUAGCUACGUCUGGCAGAGAUAACCGCUGAAAGCAUCUAAGUGGGAAACUCGCCUCAAGAUGAGAUCCCUGUAAUCCCGAAAGGGAGUAAGGACGCAGGAAGACUACCUGCUUGAUAGGCGGCGUGUGUAAGUGCAGUAAUGCACGUAGCUAAGCCGUACUAAUGUCCGAGGGCUUUCGCG